UACAGAGACUGCAAGCGUUAUUCGGAUUCACUGGGCGUAAAGGGUGCGCAGGCGGCCAAGUGUGUGAGGCGUGAAAGCCUGGAGCUUAACUCCAGAAUUGCACCUCAAACUACUUGGCUAGAGCAUUGGAGAGGGUAGCAGAAUUCACGGUGUAGCAGUGAAAUGCGUAGAUAUCGUGAGGAAUACCAGAGGCGAAGGCGGCUAUCUGGACCGACAUUGACGCUGAGGCGCGAAAGCGUGGGGAGCAAACAGG
Molecule: ribosomal RNA, 253 nt
Filed under: uncultured bacterium
Lineage: Bacteria
Description: partial 16S ribosomal RNA
Rfam family: Bacterial small subunit ribosomal RNA
Source: RNAcentral